CGGCAGCCCGGUACCCCACGUGGAAGGGGCGGAGGAGGAUGAAGGGCCAGGGGAGCAGCGGACCCCGAGCCACCGCGACAGGACCCCGGCCCCUGCUACCGAGGCCCCCGCGCUUCCCCAGGGCCUCCCGGGCGGGGCCGGGCCAGGGAGUGCCCGCCGCGCCCGGCCCCUGGCCCUCCCGCCCGCCGCGCCUGUGUGCACUUUCGCGGAGCCACUAAUCCCCCGAGAGAGCCGAUUUGUAGUGAGGAGUAUCUGGAGGGGGCGAGGCCGGCCCAUGUGGGGUUGUGUCAUUGGUUUGCAAAGAGAGACCCCGCCUUUGCCCCCCCCCAAAAAAAAGGAGCGAGGAGUGAGCGAGCGGCGACCCUCACCUCGCCUCCCGCCUCGCUCCUGCGCAGCCGGCGGGCACCGGGAGCUGCGGCCAGCGCCGCUUCUUUCCUUUCCUUUUCUCUCCGUUUUCCUCCUCCUUCCCCGGAGGAGAAAACAAAUAAAGAAGAGCAAAUAGCCGGGAGGCGCUCGGCAUCCAGGACGUUCCCUCCCCCGAUCCAAGUUGGAAUUAGCAUCCUCUCGGGGGUGGCUCGGGAGCGGCCCGGAGGAGCCGGCGGCGGCCCGAGGAGCGAGGGACCGAACCGGGAGCCAUGCCGCGCUGAGGGGGGGCCGCACAGCCGCCGCCACCGCCACCGCCGCCGGGUGGGGUGGGAGGGGCGGGAGCCGCCGCCGCCGCCGCCUCCAGGGUGGGCGCCUUUCGCCGUGGACGCCGACCGUCCGGGACGAGGGUUUCAUCACCUUAAAUGGUUUUGAACCAAUGAAGCUGUAUUCCCUUAAAAAGACGGACAGCCCAUCGUGUGAACUAUAGAGUUUGUGGACAGACUUAUAUUGGUGAGUUAUUGUGAAAUAUCUCCAGGUAAAAGUUCAGUUUUCUAGAAUC
This 925-nucleotide long non-coding RNA is filed under the name Theropithecus gelada (gelada). RNAcentral's name for it is "lncRNA (ENSTGEG00000028759.1)". Lineage: Eukaryota; Metazoa; Chordata; Mammalia; Primates; Cercopithecidae. The record is from RNAcentral.